Molecule: ribosomal RNA, 738 nt
Filed under: uncultured bacterium
Lineage: Bacteria
Description: bacterial SSU rRNA
Rfam family: Bacterial small subunit ribosomal RNA
Source: RNAcentral
GAACGCUGGCGGCGUGGAUAAGACAUGCAAGUCGAACGGGAUAUUGUUUGUGGCAAUACAAGCGAUGUCUAGUGGCGUAAGGGUGCGUAACACGUGGGGAAUCUGCCGAGAAGUGGGGGAUAGCUCGCCGAAAGGCGAAUUAAUACCGCAUGUGGUUAGGGGAGGCAUCUUCCCGAUACUAAAGCCGGGGCAACCUGGCGCUUCUUGAUGACCCCGCGGCCUAUCAGCUAGUUGGUGAGGUAACGGCUCACCAAGGCUAUGACGGGUAGCUGGUCUGAGAGGACGACCAGCCACACUGGAACUGAGACACGGUCCAGACACCUACGGGUGGCAGCAGUCGAGAAUUUUUCUCAAUGGGGGAAACCCUGAAGGAGCGACGCCGCGUGGAGGAUGAAGGUCUUCGGAUUGUAAACUCCUGUCAUUUGGGAACAAUUGCUUCACAUUAACUGUGUGGAGUUUGAUAGUACCAGAAGAGGAAGAGACGGCUAACUCUGUGCCAGCAGCCGCGGUAAUACAGAGGUCUCAAGCGUUGUUCGGAUUCAUUGGGCGUAAAGGGUGCGUAGGUGGCGGGGCAAGUCAGGUGUGAAAUCUCGGGGCUCAACUCCGAAACUGCACUUGAUACUGCCUUGCUCGAGUACUGGAGAGGAGAUGGAAUUUACGGUGUAGCAGUGAAAUGCGUAGAUAUCGUAAGAAGACAAGUGGCGAAGCGAUCUCUGGACAGUUACUGACACUGAGCAC